GAUAUUUAAUAAUGACACUAUUUUGAGUGAAUCUUCAGAUGAAUUUACAUUAAAUGGCACUUUACAUUUAACCAAUUUAAGCAGAAAAAACACAGGGACUUACCGAUGUAACGUUCACAACACAGUAGGGAUGGGGAAUGCUGAAGUACACGUACUUGUAACAUAUAAGCCAGAACUUGCUUCAAAUGCUCCUUUUAUUUUUGAUACUGAAAUUGGAAACCCAGCAUAUAUUUCAAUUCCCAUAAGAAGUUUUGAAAAACCUACUGCUUCAUGGACUCUGUCAAGUGAAGAAAGUCUUCAAGUUGGUUUAUUGAAUGUAAAAACAACACAAAAUGACAUGUUUCUCAUUGAGGGGAAGAUAGUUCCAAGUACCAAUCAUUAUUUUAAAAAAUAUGGAAUAAGUGUAAGAAACAGAGUUGGAAGUAUUCAUGCAGAUGUAACGCUUACUUAUACAGACACACGGGUAUUGGCAUCAUCAAGGCGAUACAACUGCAGCACAGGGAAUUCAACAUAUAUUAAUUGCUUUGUCAAUACGAAUUUAUACACAGAAUGGUCUUGUGUUUGGAAGCACUUUUACAAUGAUGAAUUCAUUAGGUCUUUGCCAUGCAUUGUUAAAGACGGCGUCUCUCGCUUACGUUUCGAAUUUUGUAACUACAUGAACACUGGCAUUUAUAAAUGUAUUUUGGAAACACCAACAUAGAACUUUUCUUCUAAUGCUGAACUGUCUGUUAAAGGGCCACCCAUAGUAUUGACAAGCGUAGUUGAAAGACAUAGCAAUAACAUUGUGAUAUCAACGUACUUUGUAUCAUAUUCUCCAGCUAAGAGUAUAUCUUGGUUUUUCAAUAACGGAAAAAAAGAAAGUCAAAUUGAAUCAAACUCUACGAUAUGUCAAAUCUUAUCAUCUAAGUCAGCUGCUGAUAUCGCAAUUUACGGUAAAAAAGUACAUAUAGAUUGUAUAAGAACAGAUCU
Long non-coding RNA from Mytilus californianus (California mussel), 969 nucleotides. RefSeq lists it as uncharacterized. The transcript has 4 exons. NCBI's taxonomy places the organism in Eukaryota, Metazoa, Mollusca, Bivalvia, Mytilida, Mytilidae. The record is from RefSeq and is a predicted model, not a curated record.